AACGAACGUUGGCGGCGUGGCUUAGGCAUGCAAGUCGAACGAGAAAGUUUCCUUCGGGGAGCGAGUAUAGUGGCAAAAGGGUGAGUAAUGAUUAGUUAACCUACCCCUAAAACUGGGAUAACAACCCGAAAGGGUUGCUAAUACCGGAUGGUCUAUGAGAGAUGCAUAUCUUUUAUAGUAAAGGCGCUCGCAAGGGUGUCGAUUAGGGAGGGGAUUAAUUCCUAUUAGCUAGUUGGUGAGGUAAUGGCUCUACCAAGGCAUUGAUGGGUAACCGAUCUGAGAGGAUGACCGGUCACACUGGGACUGAGACACUGCCCAGACUCCUACGGGAGGCUGCAGUCGCGAAUAUUCCGCAAUGGACGCAAGUCUGACGGAGCGACGCCGCGUGUGGGAUGAAGGCCUUAGGGUUGUAAACCACUGUCACACUUUAAGAAAUCAAUUAGGGUAACUCCUAGUUGUUGACAAAGGAGUGGAAGGAAGUCACGGCUAACUACGUGCCAGCAGCCGCGGUAAUGU
Molecule: ribosomal RNA, 516 nt
Filed under: uncultured bacterium
Lineage: Bacteria
Description: bacterial SSU rRNA
Rfam family: Bacterial small subunit ribosomal RNA
Source: RNAcentral